RNAcentral lists this long non-coding RNA (3936 nucleotides) under Homo sapiens (human). RNAcentral's name for it is "non-protein coding MIR9-3HG:8". Lineage: Eukaryota; Metazoa; Chordata; Mammalia; Primates; Hominidae. The record is from RNAcentral.
GGAGCCGAGAGGAGCCCAGCGCCGGCCCAGCGGACUCCAGCUCGACGGAGCGGCCGCGCCCCGACCAGUUACUCCCCUGCUGGUGCCUCCCUCCUUGGCGCGCUUCCCACCUGCGAUCGGCGCCCUCUUCGCAGUCACGAACUCGCCAGCAGCUAGCAGCACUGACUAGUAGGAGGGCCCGCCGGAGGAGAGGACAUGCUCUGGAGUCAGAAGACAGCGAAAAGAGAAGCAGAAGCCCCGGUGGCAAGAGUCUGAAGGAAGGAUGACUGUAGCCUGUGGAUUGUACUGCAGUAGGAAACUGUCCUAGCAAGGCUCCACUUUGCCCCAGCUUCAAGCUGGAAAGGAGGAGAACAUGAAACAUUGCUUGAAGACAAUGGCCGAGACAGCAGGUCCCACCCUGCACAGCCACCAGCAUCUCUCCCCUCAGCCCUGUCUCCUCUUCUGCAGUUGGGAUCUGCACAUUUAAGCCUGAAAUUGUCCUGUGAAGUGAAGUAUGAUCGGACAGCCUCUUUUCAGCUUUUAUGACAAUGGAGACAGAGGAAUUGUGGCUCUUGCCAAGGUCACAGGAUUGGAAUACAGAGCCAAGCCACCCCAGGACAUGCAAGAGCCUCAGAAGGGAAAAAAGCCCAGCAGGAAGGGAGAACAAGUAGCCUCUGUCCUGAAGUUGUAACAGCCAGGGGCCAGGAUGGAGGAGGAGGACCCCAUAAUCUGCCCAUCUGGGACUUGGCAGGGGACCUGGGAAAAUGUACCCCAACCCAUCCCUUAAGGGCCUUUGUCUUUGGCCCAUUGGCCUAGCAUCUACUUCUUCACCGUGUCUGUUCUUGUCACACCUAGUCAGGUCUGUUUGGGUCUGAGGUGCAUGGAACAUUCUGGGUAGGCCUCCAGCAAACGGAAGCUCUUCACCGUGUUUCCAGCCUGGGACCAAGGGCAGCAUACUGGCAAAGUUGCCAAAGCAAGGGACUCCAGCCUCUUAGGAGUUAAUGACUCCCUCUCCCCAGCUGUCCUCCCCUUGGUGCUCCUCUUCCUCCCUCCUCCUGCUCACAGCAGGCAGGGCCUAGACCCGGGAGCCAUGCUGCUGUGCUGUUGCCAGGGGAGCACGGAGGCAGAUCUGAGCUAUGCAGGGAAAAGGCCCAGCCUGUCAAAGUGUCUGAGAUGAACCGCCGCCGUCCCUGUGCAGCUGGGCUCAGACGUGUCUCAGCUCUUGUUCUGUGCCUGAGAAUGGCGAAACCCAGUGAGGUUCAAGGGCAAACUCGCUAUUCAUUAGUCAGGGGUUCUUGACGUCCCGUCUCUCCCAGGGAUGAGUUCCCCCCUCCUCUUUCUCCCCCUCCUAUGACACAUUCCUGGGUGCCUUUGGUGAGGACUGCACACCCUCCUCCUGCCUAGCCCCCUCUCCAAAGGCCCCUGAAUAAACUCCCCCCAAGGAGACCAGGCAGGGCAGAGACAAUGGCUGCAGGAAAUCAUUCAGGCGGGACAUGCUGGCCUGCCCUCCACCCAGUCCCCCUGUGGGCCCCACUCCCUUCUGAUUCAGGGCACCCUUGGGCCCCCAGCCUAUACAGGCCUGGACAGGAAGAAACCACUGGGAACCACCCUAAGGACAACAUGCUAGUCCAGUGCCAUUCUUCGCUGGCUCUGUGGGUGCCUUUGUGGCCUGUACCGACUGGCUGGCUAAUUUUGUGGUUUCUGUACCAUCACAUGCCUAUUUUAAGACACUCUCCAGCACUGUCGGUUAGGGAGUGUAAAUUUUGCAAUAUUUUCUGAAAUGUGGCAAUAUCAAAAUGUAAAAGGCACACAUACUUGGUCACAAACAAAUGGCACUAUUUACUCUGUGGGCAUAUUUGUAAAAGUUGCCAAAGAAUUAUAUACAAGGAUGUUCAUCAGAGCAUUUCUUUUGAAGAGUAAAGAAAUGGACAUGAACCUGUGGUCCGUUCAUACGGUGGAAUACCUAUGCAGCUGUAAAAAUCAGUGUGGUAGAUCUCCGUAUAUGAGUUGAUGUGGAAGGUUGGCCAGUUCACAUGAUAAGGUGAAUAGAAUAAGUUACAGAACAGGCUGUAGAGUAUGAUCUUAUUUGUAGAUGUUUAAAACUGAGUCAUAAGUAUGCUUAUAUACAGAUCGUUUCUGGAAGUAUGUACUGGAAGUCUACCUCUGGGGAGUGGGGAUGGGGGAGUGCACUCUUCUAUACUGUUAUAUUUUCUUUUCAUGCUCCUAAGGUACUUUUAUUGGAAGAUGUAAAGCGGUUCAAUGUAAUAGGCUUAACUUCUGUCAACUAAGUUGGCGUGGGUGCUUUAAGAGGGUGGUAGUGAUGUUGCUGGAGAAAGUAUCCCACAGUCACUGGUGGCUUCAGCCACGGGCCAUUUUGGGGCCUAAUAAUCACAUAUCAUCAUGGUUGCUAGUGUUAAUCGAAAACCUACUAAGUGCCAGGCUUACUGUCUCUGGGUCUUGCUUACGUGGAUGUCAUUUUUCCAGUUGCACCAAAUCGAAAGAGGUUAAUUGGUUUGUUGGAGUUCCUUUGUAGGUGAAGGGCAGAGCCAGGAGCUUGGCUAGGGACAGGGGAGGUGAGUGGGGGAUGGUGGAUAGGUCUUGGCUCCCAGUUUCCUUCUGGGCAGACAUUGCCCCUCUGCCCUGAGGACCUGCUUGUUUGGGGGAAGAGGCCUUUAGAGGCACCAGGGUCAUGCCAGGUGUUGGACAUGGUGAACUGGGAAGUGCUCCCAUCUGGCCACAGCGCAGAAGUAUCACCGUGCUGGGGGAUGGGGAACAGGGCUGUGAAUGGGCCUAUUUGCAUAAGCAGCAUGUGUCUGGAGAGAAAGACAUCACAGAGCAGAAGAGUGCGGGUGCCCAGGAGUGCACUUGCCACCCCUACUUCAUCCCUGAAAGAGUAAAUGGCCUGGAAGGUGUCUCUGAGAGGUAAUGCCGCACACCACCCUCCCUGGGGGCAGGGUCAGGCUACACCUGCCUUAGGUCGGGGGCUGCAGCAGCCUGAGAGCUCUCAGUAGGGCCUCAGUAGCCUGGGAGGGAGCAGGGGCAGGGGGCAGGGAAAGAGGCGUAAUGGGGCUGUCCAGAGGGGCCUGGGAAACCUGGUCCCUGAGGCCUGGGCACAGCUACAAUCACUUCAAAUUGGCUGUGGGGCCAGUGGACUGGGAAGGAAAAAAGCAAUAAGAGUGACCAAGUGCAGAAGGCUGUCAGGUCCCAGGUCACAUGCCUUAGUGCAGUGACUCCUCAUCAUUUUAUGGGGUGUGGGUGUCGUUGGUACACCCAUUUUACAGAUGAGGACACCGAGGCCCAGAAAAGUUAAGUUACAUGUCCUAAGUCACACAGCUUGUAAGUGCCAGAACUGAGAUCAAAACCAAGUCUCUUUGACUUUAAAGUCUGUACUCUGACCCCAAAGAGAUCCUGUUUGGCCACUUAUAGGAGGUCCCUAAAGCUGCAGACUCCCCUUGCCGGCACCCACAUAUAGAGACAUUAACCCUUCCCCUGCAGGGUCACCUCAAAUAGUCUUUUAGCUGGGCUUCUCCUGCAAUUCCACCUAAUGCCAUCCCCUGGGUUUUGCCCAAACCUGAACUGGGCAGUGGGGUGAGAGGAGGGGUUUACAGGGUUACAGAGCCUCAUACAGAUAGGAGCCCAUGGCUGCUGGUCAUCUGCAUUCCUGCAGGAUUGGCUGUUCCUUGGGGUCCUUGGCAGGAAAAUGAGGAUUGCUCCGAGGCCUGCUCCAGUACUUCCCAGAGGCUGGCCUGGUGUGGGGCUCUGGGAAGGCUGAGGCUGGAGAAGCGUAAGUAGGAGGGCAGAGAUGGCACUCAGGUAGCUUGAAUCACCAGGACCCUUCCAAGCCCCACAGGUUCUGAGGGAGUACUAGGGCCAGCUCUGGGAGAGGUCUCUUCCUAUGCUGUGAACCCCCUGCCUUUCUUGCAGCCUACAACGAAUAAAUUUUCUUUGCAAAGGCUU